UCCAAACAGGGAACUCUUUCUAACCAAAAUGCAUGUGAGAUCACCAAUUUUUUAAAACGGGAAAAGACGAUCUCUCUUUUUAACACUGUUGCUGUGAAGUGUAUAUCUUUGUAUAUCAUAACUAUGAUAUACAUUCUGCUAGGAGUAAAGCUGAGUUGUCAGAUAAAAGGCUUCAGUUUCUUCAACUGUAAAAUGUAUGGUGUGGAAUGGCGAAGCACGAAGGUCCCUUCCCCUUCUAAAAUAGCCUGGCUUGAUGAUGUGAGAGGAUUCAAGAUGGAAUAACCAUAAAAAUAGUGUCAAUGUUAUUGCAUCUGAUUAAGGUGGGUGGAUGCACUAGAUCUACCUUUGGAGCCCAGUCAGCACCUAGCAGACUAUCCUGCACAUAACAAUUACUGGGUUAGUUUUAUGGAAACACCUAAGAGUAGUGAAUACGUCUUCUAAUGUGCACCUCUAACCAAAUCCCACAACAAAAUACUGUGCGCUUCUGGGAAGGAGAACUCAGCUCGAGGGACGUUAAAUGCUUGACUUGUAUCAAGUUUUACGACUGCUGAAUUUUAAAAAAAUAUAUUAGCAGAUAAGCUAAUGGAUAAGCUCUUUCACAAACAUGCCUGUGAUGUCAAUUUGCUAGUGCAAUUUCAUUCAUAAAAUCAGAGAAUCCCAGAGCUAUAAGGCAAGACAGAGAUGAACUAGUAAAAUUCCUGAAUUUGAAAGAUGAGAAAACCCAAGAGGUAGUUACAUUUCAUGAUUCCAACAUUGCAUGAUGGAAUCAGGUUUUGGCUCUUAAUCCAGUGCCUGGUCUCUGUUCUCUACCGUUUAACUCAGUCAUCUCAUAAGCAUGAGUUAUUGGCCAGGCAUUUCCACCUGAAACCUAUUAUGAUUGAUUACUAAUAACCAGAAACCAGGAUACUUAGGACCUAGUUGUAUUACUAACUAGUUGUGCGACCUCGGGUACUCACUUACCUUCAUGGUAUUUCAGGAUUCCAGUUUCCCUUUCUAUCAAGUGAUAGAUUUGCUUUUAGAUAAUCAAUACUACAUUGAUACAUUUUUAGGGUUAGAGAUACAAUUUUAUCCUUAAAAAUAGCAAUCUUGUCCUUAUGAGUGCAGAACAAGUCUGUGUCUACAGGGAUAAAGUAAAAUUUAGCUUUCAUCAACAAAGACCUUCACAUGGCAAUUUUAAGCAAAAUAAUCCUUUCCUUGUCUUAUAAGCUUAUAGGUAGGAACCACCGUUCCAUUAUCCUCAUCUUUCCACUGAAACACUGGAGUCUAGAUGGAACAGUUAUCGGAGGGAUUUAUAGUAUAUAAGCUAAUCCACAAUGCUAGGCACAAGAUAAGCACUCAACUAUUUCUGAUUGCUUAAAUUUCUCAAAAUUCUGAAUUUCUGAGUACAUUUGAUGCCAUAUAGACAGCCCUUGCCUUUGAAUGCUUCAGUUAUAAGGGGAAAAACUGCAUAGGAAGAAUUAUAUACUAUUUCUAUAUUUCUAUAUUAUAUUUAUUAAUAUAAGCUCUGAAUGACAUUUAUCCAAUAAAAUUUUAAAAAUCUUCCUAGACACAGGAUAAUGUAGACUGUUCUCAUUGCAGUCUACCUUUCUGAGCUGCUGUAAACAGCCCAAUUCUUGAAUACUAUAUACUAGUUUACUUGGAUAACCACAUAAAUCAAAACAGCCUAUUCAUUUUGCAUUUUAUUGUUAUUCUAAUUAAUAUAAGUCACACAUGUGCAACGUGUGAUGGGAGCCAUUUAUAAAUUAAUAAAUAAACAUUAAACACACUUCAAAAGGACUGUGACAUAAAAAUAAUGACUCGCUUAAAAAAAAAAGAAAGAAAGAAAAAAGAGGCUAUUGUUCAAAAGCCGUUUGUUAGACUAUUGGUUGAUAAGCAAACAAAUAGAAAAAUAACAGUGAGAAAUUUCAAACAGUAACCCCUCUGGAGGGAAACAAAGCAGUUCAAUAGACAUAUAUAGCUAUACACAAAAGACUUGAGUUAAGGGUAAUUAAAAAAAAAAAUUCUGAGAAAGUGAUAAGCUCAGUGAAUAUCCUCUCAAAAGAAAGGAAGGGAAACAGAAACCCAGGAUUUAAAUAGUAUCUCGUGACUUUCCAAAGCUUUUUAUCCCAGGACCCAUCCACUUUACAAGAAUGAAUUCAUUAACUUUCCACAUAUUCUUUUGAUUGUAGGUACAGGCUAUGUUAUCCCAAGGUUUUGAAGACAGAAGAGAUGGAAGCAGAGGGAACACCCAUGGCAUGGCAUCAGUAAUCAGCCUUGGACUCUUCUCUCAAAUCUAACUGCUCCUGCAACUCUUCCAAGUGCCCAUCUUACCUGGAUGAGUGCAGACCAAUGGAUAACACAGAUGAAAGCCAUGUUACCACAACACUUGAUAUUUCAAAUAGGACUCUUCUUCUGGCCUAUGAGCUAGCUUUGUAGACGCUGCCUCACUGAUCAUUACAGCACAUUUGAGGAAGGAAGGAGUGGCCUCCGCCCUCAUGUAAUGGAUGGGGUAGCAACUGCUUAAGGCCAGUACAUGAUGUGGCUGAAAACAAAGCCAUAUGCCCCAAACUCUCAGAUCACGGCACCAGCCACCAUUUCUGGAAUUAAGUGUGUCUCUUUGCGGGUAGCUACCAGUAAAGAGAGCUGAUUACCAAGGUCGGCAGAUGUGGAAGCAGAUGAGAGUAAGAUGCUACUCACUGUUACCCAAAGCAGCCAAAGGCACUCCUCAUUUGUUACUGAAACAUUUAUUAUAACAGGGCUUCUAGAAGGGGCAAUGGAAGGAAGGGGGAAAACAUGGAAGAAUGAGUCAGAUAUGAACAUGCCACUCAAAAAUUUACAUGCAUUCAUUCAGCAUUCAUUCAACAAUUAGAAGCCUCCCAGGUGCCAGUCACACCAUGGGGGACAUAAAUGCAAAUCAGACAUUGCCUUCAAGAAGAUGACCCUAAUGGCCUGAUCAGAUACUUUGAACUUAUAUAGCAAUACAUAUUAAAUACAAGUUAUGCCCAGGUUGUUAGGGACGUGUAAAAGAACACUGGUGUCAGCUUAAAUAAGUCAGGGGAGGCUCCUCAAAGUACUUGUGCCUUGUGCUGAGACCUGCAAGAUAAAUAGUGAUUAAUUAGCAGAGGGGUGUGCAAGGAGAAGGAUGAGUUCCUGAGGGGUUGCUGUGCAAAACUGGAAGUUUUAACUUUAACAAGUGGCUCUGCUGGUUGAGGCCUGGGGUGUAGAUGGAGGAAAGAAAAACAAAAUGGAGUCCUUCAUGCUUCAAGGUCAGGUGUUUGGACUGCAAAGACUUUGGGGACCUAUGAGGAUUAUAAGGACAUUCUGGAGGACCGACGUAAUAGGUAGCACAUGGGCCAGUAUGGGAUGUAGCAGCCAACACUUUCGCUGUAUGGUGCCUGGGUAUUCAAAGCAUGGUUAUCUGGUCCCAUGAAGGCUGGGGAUGAUGGAAGCCCCAGGAAAGAGGGGCAGAAGUUCAGGAGACAGAGGUUAACUCCUCUGCUCUCUGCUCUGACCUCCAUGCCUUCCUUAGCUAGACCAGACUAGAACUUCUGGGGUUAACACAAAGCAACACUCUAGGAUAACAGUGCAGUAGUUGACCAAGCAUCUCCCCCAUUUUCUAUCCUGAAAGGGAUAUGAGGCAUUCAAAGAACUCAGCUUCCUGCCCAGGACUUUGGAACAUCUUGUUGCAUUAUGAGCACAGCGUUGGCACACAUGUUCUCCAUGCUUGUCACCACUGCGCACCAAGACAGGGCAGGAUACGUGUGGUGAGUACCUUCGUGCCUGUGUGUACACCUGCAUCAUGAGAUAUAACCAUGAACUUGUGUGACUAAACACCCUAUUUAUAUAGAAGGGUUUGUAUAAUGUUUUAUAUACUUUUCAGACAUGUUGCCCCAAGGAUUAUCUCAUUUCAAUCUUUACAACAUGCCCGGGAGUACGCAAGACAUGUCUGCUGAUGACUAGAGAAUAUGAAACUUGGAGAGUUCAAAGACCCACCUGGGUUAAAAUAGAAAAUGUGAUAAAGAGCCAGACUCUACACAAGGCUUCUUGGCUCCUUCCCUAUCCAGACAUAACCUCAGACCCCCUAAUGAGGCUGAGCAAGUCUGAAAAGUUGGGUGAUGGAUAAGAUCACUGGUGGACCCAAAACAGGUAAGAUCCCUGAGAAAGGCAGAGUAGCAUCCCUCCCCCCUUAGUCCAUGAUGUGUCCCAGCAAGUUCUUGGGUGUGUCAAUGACUGAACAGAGUUAGAAAAUCCUCAAAGGUAGCCUACAGAUAGGAUCAGAACCAUGUCUUGUCUACUUUCAAACUCCUUUCCUAUCUUGGUGGAAACAGGAAGUCAGUUCUGCCUGAAGACCCCCGACCCAGCGUUUCUAGUGCCUAAGAUUCAGGCCCACGUGUGCGUCCAGGAGGAAAAACAGGAAUAUCUCUUUUGAUUGCACUUUGCAGAUACUUCAUUUUUUACAUAUUGAAGGGUUUUGGCAAUUUUGCAUUGAGCAAGUCUAUCAGCACCAUUUUCCAACAGCAUUUGCUCAUUUCAUGUCUCUGUGUCACGUUUUGGUAAUUUAAAUAUUUCCAACUUUUUCAUUAUUAUUAUGUCUGUUAUGGUGAUCUGUGAUCAGUGAUCUCUGAUGUUACUGUUGUAAUUGUUUUGGUAAUUGUAUAAGACAGCAAACUUAACUCAUAAAUGUGUGUUCUGACUGCUCCACCAACCAACUCUUCUCCCAUCUCUCUCCCUCUUAUUGGGUCUCCCUAUUCCCUGAGAAUCAACAAUAUUGAAAUAAGGUGAAUUAAUAACCCUACAAUGGCCUCCAAGUGUUCAAGUGAAAGGAAGAGUCACAGAUCUCUCACAAUAAAUCAAAAGCUCGAAACGA
This 4846-nucleotide long non-coding RNA is filed under the name Sus scrofa (pig). RNAcentral's name for it is "lncRNA (ENSSSCG00060048696.1)". The record is from RNAcentral. Lineage: Eukaryota; Metazoa; Chordata; Mammalia; Artiodactyla; Suidae.